UACUCUGCGCGAUCGUAUCGUAAUACAAUUAUAAUGUUAUUCUUCUUUUUAUAACUAUUUAAUUCACGACUCGAUAAUUCACUCUAUUCGAUUACGUCUAAUCGAGACGAAGGAUGGAUGUGUCGAUGUUAUACUUGUAGAAGAAAAACUCAUUAGCAUCUCGUUAACCUUAUAUACGAAAGAUGCUUUCUUACUCGUACACAUUAUUCUAUUAAUAGCGCGAAAGGAAGAAUUAUUUGAAAUUCAAUUCGACCUAUCAAUCGAGUUUAAUAAGAACAAAUGUGACAUAUCGGCCAGAAUAUCAUGACCACCAUGUUUGCAUCUCACGUGAAUAAGUCCAAUUAUGGACUCGACAUCUAUUAUAUAAAGUCGUGCUCGUUUUAUUUGUGCUAAGAUUUUGUAGAUUGAGCAACCUUGAGAUACUUCCAUUCUUAUUAACCCUUUGAUACGCUACAGUAAAUCCACUUGUCGAAUAAUUUCAUGACUCGCUCGUUCUACCACGUGGACGUUACAUGGAUUUUUCACAGUGCACGUGCAAUUCCGGUUAUUUCGAUGAUUUAUCAAAAGAAAGAAAGAAAAGGAAAAACAACAACAACAACAACAACAACAACAACAACAAGCUUGUGUGGAAUCGAGGAAUUUUAAAUCUACGACUCUUUGCAGAUCCCAGCUCUUCUUUCCAGUUUUAGCGUGUCAUAAGAAGCUUUCUUACCUCAUCUCCGGUGUUGGCGAGUGCUGGUCCCACGGGUCUCUUGCUGGGGCCCAUGGGAUAUGCGGAACAGCGGGGUGCGGAGAUACGCGAACGCGGAGGUCACCAUUGACGCAAAUCCAUUUGACGGUCACGUGACCGGCCGCACCAACCUGAACACAAUGCGCGCGGACGCCACGACAGCACCACCUUUCAUCAAAUCCUCUCCUCCGCUCCUGUUUGCAACUGUAAAUACACGGCGAGAACAAUUGUGUAGAACUCGACCCAUUCGCGAAAAUAAUGUGCAAUUAAAGAGUUAAGGAUCAAUCGUUUAUCGAAUGCCAAUCAAAAUAUAUGCCUGCGUGAUAUUUUCUUUUUCUAUUGUUGAAUUUUUCUGAACUCAUAUCAUUCAUUUCAAAGAUAUAUUUUCGACAGCGAAUAUCUGUCAAUAUAAAGUUCGAUAAAAAUUUUGUAAUCAUCAAUAUGAAUUUUUUAUUAAUUUAUUGAUUAUAAUAUAUUUAUCUCUAUUUUAAAUGCCA
Apis cerana (Asiatic honeybee) is the source of this 1227-nucleotide long non-coding RNA. RefSeq lists it as uncharacterized. The record is from RefSeq and is a predicted model, not a curated record. NCBI's taxonomy places the organism in Eukaryota, Metazoa, Arthropoda, Insecta, Hymenoptera, Apidae.